RNA transcript from Macadamia integrifolia, 2708 nucleotides. It is a transcript of the gene named splicing factor U2af small subunit B-like, with no coding region annotated. The transcript is spliced from 4 exons. The record is from RefSeq and is a predicted model, not a curated record. NCBI's taxonomy places the organism in Eukaryota, Viridiplantae, Streptophyta, Magnoliopsida, Proteales, Proteaceae.
AUCCAAACAUAGCCUAAUCGAAAACUGGUUCACCCAUGGUUUAAUGAGCUUCCCAAGGAACCACCCCACUUUAAAUAUCGGACCGUUCUCCAUUAGCCGCUUGUGUGCUUACUCUGUAUUUCCAUGGCGAAACUCUAGAAGGUUCUUUCCUCUCAAUUCUUGGAGUUCCGAAAUCAGUCGAGGACAGCGAAGCUAGGUGCUGGUGGAGGAUGUUUCGUAAAGAAUUCAUGGUGCUGCUUUUCUUUAUACUGCUUAUGUUUCUUCCUUGAAUCUCUCUUUUUUGGGGGGUCUUGAUAGGUUUUGUUGGAUAUCAUGUGCCAUUGAACAGUUUUUUACAACCCUUACCAAAAAAGAACAGUUUUUACAACUUUUUAAUUCUUAUUGUGAUGUAGCCGUGGAGUCUUAGGAAAUUUUCACUGCUUUUUUCCUCUUUGCCCUAGUUCACUGUUUUCAGUCCUUUGUUAUACUUGACAUGAAGCUACCAUCUGACUUCUCAAUACUGGUUACUCAUGUGAUUUUCAUACUGAUUGUCAUUUUAAACCUUGCCAGAAACAAGAGAAGUUGUACCUUUUUGUGUUUUCGCACUAAGUUGUCCUUUUGUUGUCUGGACAUUUCAAAACACUUGCUCAACCUAUCUGCUCUACCAUUUUUUAUUACAGAAUCUUGAUAGGCUCCAUCAUCUUCAGCUUUGCUGAACACUGGAUAAACAAUUAUGCUUCAGAUGCUUUUCUCAUGUUCAAGUCUUGUUUUGGGUUAUUUGUACAUUUCAAAUUGUAGGCUGAAGCAAUCUGGAUCUCUUUUCUCUCUCUCUCUCUCUCUCUCCCCUCCCCCCCCCCCCUUCUCUUUUUCUUUUUAAAUUACCUAGAGCCUUAACCAAGUUAUGCUUUGCCUGGCUGUCUCUUUUUAGUGUAAUGCAAUCUCUUUACUUUGAUACUUAUGCUCGAGAUGCUUUUCACAGUGCUCAAGUUUUUUUUUUUUUUCCUGGGUUAGUUGAAUGUUUCAAGUUGUUGGCCAAACCAAUCUGGACCUCUUAUGCGUUGCCUGGCUGUCUCUUUUGGUUAUAGUACCUCUUUACUUUGGUUCUGAUGUUCUCAAUCCUCGGAGGGAUGGCAAAGAAGAUUCAGUUGGAGUUGUCUUAUUUUUUAUCCACCCUGAUUCAAGUUUGAUGGGAUUAAUAUAUUGGCUGGGCCACUACCUUCUACAAUCUGUUCUCAAGUACUUGUGAUCUUACACAAGACUGGUCUUAAGCAGAUGAUUCAUUCAGUCUGCCUUCCUUUGCUCGCCUUCUCCUUCCCUUCCUCUUCUGUUACCCCGACAUUUAUUCUAAGUUUUUUAGAUGAGUUAUUUUCUUUUAUCUAUACCUUUUAGUUCUUUAUAGUUUACUCAAGUUACUUGUUUUUAUUCAUUUUCUUAAUUUUCCUCCUCUUUCUUUUUUUUGGUUCUUGCAGAAACAAAAUUUAAAAAAUAGUGGAAUUAGCAACUGUUCCACAAAACCUGAACUGUGAAGCAAAACAUGUCAUGCACUCGUGAGAUGGGAGCCUUAGGAAUAUUCAUCAACCUUCAGCUGGAUUUCAUAAAUUUGGAGUAUUUCCAUCCUCACGUGGGCAUGAAAGGAAGUUUCCUACCAUAAACAUGUAUGAACUAGGUUCUUAAUAAAUAAAUGUAAAUCAAGUGAUCUUGACCAUAUAAUGUGACGCUGUACCCUAGCAAAAAAAAAAAAUGCCAUGUAAUGUGAUGUUGAAGCUCCCAACACCCACUCCACUCACCCCCAAUCCCUCCCACCCCAAAAAAAAAGAAAAGAAGGUUACAUUAUAUUUUCCAUUUUUUUAUGCAUGUUCUUCUUAUAUCAGCAUUGCCAUAUAUUUCUUCCUCGUGAAGCUUUCGUGGUGCUUAAAUUUGUCCAUAUCAUUUGCGAUGUUCCAAUACAAAUUGCAUUUCUCACUUGGUAAUGUGGGGUUUUGACAAACAAUAGAAGAAAUCAAUGCAUUUUUAUUUAUUUAUAAACAACAAAAAUAAAUGCAUAAUACAUAAUUGGCUAUGAAAUGAAAAGUUCAUGAAAUGUUCUGAACUCUUGAAAAAAAAAAAAUGUUCUAAAUUUGACAUGUGGCUAACAUAUGGGGUGUACCAGCUUUCCAAUAGAUAAUCUGACAGGAUAAAUCACAACAGCUUUGAUUGCAAAUUUGUCUAGGUUGUAGGUAAAGGAAAGGGAAGGAAAAUUAGUUUAAAAAAAGGAAAAUUUUCUUUUCCCUUUUUUUUUUUUUUUUUUUGGUUAAAUCUUUAUUUUUAACAUUGUUUUUAGUUGCUAAAAAUUCUUAGUAAUUGCAAUUUUCAGAACCAGUCUUUCUUUCAUUUUUCAAAUUGAAGAGAAUUAAUUGUGAAAUAGAUCAAAACUUUAGGGGGAGGGGCUGAAACAUUGCCCAUAUUGGUAUCUCCAGCACCAAAUUAAUUGGCACAAGGGAGAGAUUGCAUCCUGAUUUAUAUAGAGGGGUCCACAUGGUCAAGGAAAAUAGAGAGUACUAGGGUGGAGAGGAAGUAUGAGAGUGCCUCACCGAUGGUGUGUAAAUUUGUUUUUAAAGUAUGAUAACAAGUGAAAUGAUUGAGAUUUAAAUACUAUGUGAUUAUUAUAAAAGGUUAUUUUUCUAAGUUUAAUUUUAUUUCAUUUCCCUUCAUUUGACAGUGAAGAUUAUAUUAAAGUUCUUUUUCUCUAU